UUGCAUUUUUCUAAUGAUUUGGUGCUGAACAUUUUUUCAUAUACCUAUUGGCCAGUUGUAUGUCUUCUUUUGAGAAAUGUCUAUAGGUUUUGAAAUAUACAUUUUUAUAUUAAAUACCUCAUAUGUAGUAGUUAUUUUAAAUAAUUGAGUAAACAGAACCAUAGAUUUUAUUUUAUGAAAUCAAAUCAAGACUCUAUACCUUAGAAGAAUGAUCUAGGAAAUAUGGAACUAAAAUCUUAUACAGUUCAUUGGAAGUGUUCUGUAAAAGAUUAAUCCUAAAGCACAGAAGGAAGUAUAACGAAUUUAUGUUGCACUUGAAACAGUUGUUUAUUAACAAUAGAAAUUACAUGUGAAUAUAAGGGAACUAUUCUCUACUCAAAGAGUACCUAUUUUGCCUUCCUGUACCCAGAUGUCAGUCUUAGAGUUUUUAUGGAGUGCCCACAUGUUAUAUAACACAGUACUUGAUUUUGCAAAUGUAAGGAGGAAUAUGUUUGUUAAAGGCAUAAAUAGGCCACAUGGGAAAUAUAAAAUGAUCAUUAACUUUAACACUGCUUUUUACUAAAGAAUUUCUUCAAAUACUAUAGAUUCUAUUUAUAAAAGAAAGGAUACUUAUAUAGGGUAGUUUAAAGUGAAGUUGGAAGUAGAUUGAGAUUUUUCUGUACUGUACCUUAUUGCAAUUGCAUGUUUAUUGUUUGAUUAGGAAUAGCAAAGUAUAUUUGUGGCAUUUUGUUCAUGCAGCAAAUUAGACCUUUUCAAGUUAUUCCAGGACCAUGUGUUCACUGGUGGUCUCAAUUCAGCUGGCAGUAGCAAUUUCGGUUACUAAGUGAUGUGUACAUAUUCCCUCAUUGAAUGAAUCUCUAGAGUACACAUUGAUUGCAUAUUAAAUCUGAUGCCAAAAGCACAUGAGUUUCCUUGUCUGUUACGUCACUAUUUGGAGAGUGCUGAAAAAGAAGAUACUAGGAAGUAUCCUCCUAGAAAAGCCCUACGAUGGAAAAGUGAAUUCCAAAGAUUGCAGUAUAACAUGUAGGUGUUCCCAUUUAAAAAAAAUUGUUUCUAUUCUUGGUAU
This 1066-nucleotide long non-coding RNA is filed under the name Marmota monax (woodchuck). The record is from RNAcentral. Lineage: Eukaryota; Metazoa; Chordata; Mammalia; Rodentia; Sciuridae.